UAAGGAAUAUUGGUCAAUGGACGCAAGUCUGAACCAGCCAUGCCGCGUGAAGGAUGAAGGUCCUCUGGAUUGUAAACUUCUUUUAUUUGGGAAGAAACCCAUUUUUUCUAGAGUGGUUGACGGUACCAGAUGAAUAAGCACCGGCUAACUCCGUGCCAGCAGCCGCGGUAAUACGGAGGGUGCAAGCGUUAUCCGGAUUCACUGGGUUUAAAGGGUGCGUAGGUGGGCAGGUAAGUCAGUGGUGAAAUCUCCGGGCUUAACCCGGAAACUGCCAUUGAUACUAUCUGUCUUGAAUACCGUGGAGGUGAGCGGAAUAUGUCAUGUAGCGGUGAAAUGCUUAGAUAUGACAUAGAACACCAAUUGCGAAGGCAGCUCACUACGCGAAUAUUGACACUGAGGC
This 400-nucleotide ribosomal RNA is filed under the name uncultured bacterium. RNAcentral's name for it is "bacterial SSU rRNA". It matches the Rfam family "Bacterial small subunit ribosomal RNA", at positions 355 to 752 of the family's 1533-position model. The record is from RNAcentral.